GAUGAACGCUGGCGGCGUGUCUAAGGCAUGCAAGUCGAGGGGUAGCAGGGUAGCAAUACCGCUGACGACCGGCGCACGGGUGAGUAACACGUAUCCAGCCUUCCCAUAACUCGGGGAUAGCCUUUCGAAAGAAAGAUUAAUACCCGAUAGUACUUUUUCAAGGCAUCUUGAGAAAGUUAAAGAUUUAUUGGUUAUGGAUGGGGAUGCGUUCCAUUAGAUAGUUGGUGAGGUAACGGCUCACCAAGUCUUCGAUGGAUAGGGGUUCUGAGAGGAAGGUCCCCCACAUUGGUACUGAGACACGGACCAAACUCCUACGGGAGGCAGCAGUGAGGAGUAUUGGUCAAUGGGCGAGAGCCUGAACCAGCCAAGUAGCGUGAAGGAUGAAGGUCUUAUGGAUUGUAAACUUCUUUUAUAGUAGAAUAAAGUGAUCCACGUGUGGAUUUUUGUAUGUAUACUAUGAAUAAGGAUCGGCUAACUCCGUGCAGCAGCCGCCGCGGUAA
This 500-nucleotide ribosomal RNA is filed under the name uncultured bacterium. RNAcentral describes it as "partial 16S ribosomal RNA". It matches the Rfam family "Bacterial small subunit ribosomal RNA", at positions 28 to 523 of the family's 1533-position model. The record is from RNAcentral.